CGCUGGCGGCGUGCUUAACACAUGCAAGNCGAGUGCGCGUCUGUAGCAAUACAGAUGGCGCACGGCGCACGGGUGCGUAACACGUGGGUAAUCUGCCCUUCGAAGGGGAAUAACUCGCCGAAAGGCGAGCUAAUUCCGCAUAACAUUCCGAGAACUUUGGUUUUUGGAUUCAAAGGCGUAAGUCGUCGGAGGAGGAGCCCGCGCACGAUUAGCUAGUUGGUAGGGUAACGGCCUACCAAGGCUAUGAUCGUUAGCUGGUCUGAGAGGAUGGCCAGCCACACUGGAACUGAGACACGGUCCAGACUCCUACGGGAGGCAGCAGUGGGGAAUCUUGCACAAUGGGCGAAAGCCUGAUGCAGCGACGCCGCAUGGGGGAUGAAGCUUCUCGGAGUGUAAACCCCUUUCGACCCGGACGAAUGCCCCGCAAGGGGACUGACGGUACGGGUAUAAGAAGCCCCGGCUAACUACGUGCCAGCAGCCGCGGUAAGACGUAGGGGGCCAGCGUUGCUCGGAAUUACUGGGUGUAAAGGGUUCGUAGGCGGUGUGGCAAGUCGGGAGUGAAAUCUCUGGGCUCAACCCAGAGUCUGCUUCCGAAACUGCUGUGCUUGAG
RNAcentral lists this ribosomal RNA (610 nucleotides) under uncultured soil bacterium. RNAcentral describes it as "bacterial SSU rRNA". It matches the Rfam family "Bacterial small subunit ribosomal RNA", at positions 34 to 646 of the family's 1533-position model. The record is from RNAcentral.